UGGGGAAUAUUGGACAAUGGGGGCAACCCUGAUCCAGCAAUGCCGCGUGUGUGAAGAAGGUCUUCGGAUUGUAAAGCACUUUCGACGGGGACGAUGAUGACGGUACCCGUAGAAGAAGCCCCGGCUAACUUCGUGCCAGCAGCCGCGGUAAUACGAAGGGGGCUAGCGUUGCUCGGAAUGACUGGGCGUAAAGGGCGUGUAGGCGGUUUACACAGUCAGAUGUGAAAUCCCCGGGCUUAACCUGGGAGCUGCAUUUGAUACGUGUAGACUAGAGUGUGAGAGAGGGUUGUGGAAUUCCCAGUGUAGAGGUGAAAUUCGUAGAUAUUGGGAAGAACACCGGUGGCGAAGGCGGCAACCUGGCUCAUUACUGACGCUGAGGCGCGAAAGCGUGGGGAGCAAACAGGAUUAGAUACCCUGGUAGUCCACGCUGUAAACGAUGUGUGCUAGAUGUUGGGUAACUUUGUUAU
RNAcentral lists this ribosomal RNA (467 nucleotides) under uncultured bacterium. Its description in RNAcentral is "partial 16S ribosomal RNA". It matches the Rfam family "Bacterial small subunit ribosomal RNA", at positions 355 to 839 of the family's 1533-position model. The record is from RNAcentral.